Long non-coding RNA from Pan troglodytes (chimpanzee), 6381 nucleotides. RefSeq lists it as uncharacterized. The transcript is spliced from 9 exons. The record is from RefSeq and is a predicted model, not a curated record. NCBI's taxonomy places the organism in Eukaryota, Metazoa, Chordata, Mammalia, Primates, Hominidae.
GGAGCUGGAAAGAUAUGAAGGAGGUAGACCAUGAGUGGUUUUGAAAGCCAGGUUAAAAAGGAUAAACUUUGUCUUCAAAGCCAUGAAAUUUCAUAGAUACGGUUUCAGCAGGUUUGAGUUUUAGAAAUUAUUGUGAUUGCUGGGUGGAAAAUUAAUUGGAGAGUGGCAAGACUGGAGAUAGAGAGUUGAUAUAUGAUGUUACUGCCCUUUUAUUUUCCAUUUGCCAUCUGAAAAAAUGUAUCUCUGUAAUAGAUGAUAAGGGUAAGCAAAAGCCAUGCCAACAGAACACUCAUGAAAUUAAAAAAGAAGGUCAUCUAUUUACUCAUUCAGGCCAUAUCCAGUAACAGAGUCUACUGCAUCAUAUUAACUGAUAAACCCAGGAUGACAAGAGAAACAUGGGACUCACUCUUCAUUUGCAUUGACUCCAGCUAAGAGCUUCAGUUUUCAUGCUUUGCUUCAGAAUUACUGGGUUGGCAUGGGGAGAGGAAGUUCAGAUGGGGAGACCUGGAGAUUUUCUGAGAAGUGGUCUGAUGCAGAACUGAAAAGGCCAACACGAGAAUCUUCAAGUACAAUUGCCUGGGAAUCCUGAGGUCUGGACAGCAACACCUGAAUCUGAAUCUCUUUUGGGUUGAAUCAUAAAAGAAAAUAGUAUGGAGAGAUUUAAGGCCAGGCCUCUGGAGAAGGAAUUGAUAAAAUAUGUGGUAGUACCUGCGCUACAGAACAGAAUUCACUUGGAAGUUCUUGGCAUAUAAUGAGUAAAUUGAAGCCCAGAAAGGCCAAGAAACUUGAACCAUUUAAAUACCUGUGAGAAAGAAUCUGAAGAGCAUGAUGUUUAACCCUUGUACAUUUAAGGAAGUAUUAAAGGAAAUAAAUACAGGAGAAAAGUGAACUGCUAAACAUGCCUGAAUACAUCCUGUCAUUAAUGUCUGGAUUUUAUUUUUUACUUUUAAUACAUAUGUUAACAUUUUUAAUGUAAUAACUAAUGUAUAAAAAUCACAAUAACAUUUACGUAAGUUAUAUAAGGCAUAUCUGUGACUCCAUCACUGAUCUUACCUCAGUCAGCCCUUGCAGGAAUGUGAUUGUCCCCAAGCCCAGCCUGUGCCUCCGUUUUAAGAGGUAACUAACUCCUCUCCUAAAUUUUUUGCUUGUCAUUCUCUUACAUUUUUAGAAGUAGUUUAAUUCUUUUUAGUUAAUGUUUCCCCAACAAUAACAUUGUAUACUUUUGCUUGAUUUUGAACAUUCUAUUUGUAUCAUGCUAUAUGUCAUCUUCUGUGACUUAUUUCAUUUCACAUUAUGUUUCUAAAAUGUCUUUCUAUGCUUGUGAGUAGCUUUAGUUCAUUCAUUUUUAGGUUGUGUAAUAUUCCACUGCAUAAUUAUUCUAUAAUAUAAUUCAUUUAGUCGCUCUCCUGUUGUCGGAAAUUGGAAGGUUUUUUCUUUUUUUCUUUUCAAUUUUUACUGAUACGAAGGAUACUGUGAUACAUGUUUUAUUCAUUUCUGUUGGUAUACAUGCCCAACAAUUCUUCUAGUUUCUAGGGUACCUAAGAGUGGAAUUGCUUGGUCUUUGCAUGUAAACUAUUUAACUUGAUAUGAAGGUGUCAAACUGUUUUCCAAAGCGAUUAAUUUGAUGUGUGUUCCCAUCAGAAGUGUAUUAAUAUCCAUUCAUUCAAAUCUUUACCAAUGUCUGGCAAUGUCAGACUUCUGUAUUUUUGUGCAUUUAGUCUUUCACGGGUGUACUCUCUUCCUGAUGUCUAUUCUGUUCUGGUCAAUAAAUUUGACUCUGUGUCUAUACCACACAGUAUUAAUUAUUCUACUUUUGCCUUUUUUUCUCUUUUUGACAGAGUCUUGAUCUGUGGCCCAGGCUAGAGUGCAGUGGUGUGAUCUCGGCUCACUGCAACCUCCGUCUCCCGGGUUCAAGUGAUUCUCAUGCCUCAGCCUCCCAAGUAACUGGGACUGCAGGCACGCACCACCAUGCCAGGCUAAUUUUUUAGCAUUUUAGUAGAGAUAGGGUUACACCAUGUUGUCUAUGCUGGUCUUGAACUCCCGAGCUCAGGCAAUCCACCCAUUCAGCCUCCCAAAGUGCUAGGAUUACAGGCAUUAGCCACCGUGCCUGGCCGGCUUUUUAUGCAACUUGUCUUGACAACAAAUUAUCAAUGUUCUCAAAAUACACUUUGGGAUUUUGCUUUUCAAAAGAGGCCAAUGCCACCUCAAUCACAGCUUUCAAACCUCCUAGCUCAAGGUUCAAUGUCCUUUUCCUAGAGUCAGACAGUUGGCCCUGCCAGAUUGCUGUGCACUGUCUCAGAGUAUGAUAGGACAAUAUUGGAGGUCCCAGAUGUCUGCUCCUUCUGUCUCCAAGAGCCUUCCUGGUCAACACCGUGUUGGCAGGUCAAAAUAUGUGCUGCUUGGCCGUUUGCCCUUUUAUGCAUGAUCCUGUAAAUAUCUGUAAGCCACAACUUACUUAUCUACUCUCCCAAUUAUGAGCACCCAGGUUACCUCCAGUUGCUGGACACUACAAACCACACUGUCAUCUUUGUGCAUAUAUGCUUACAAGCCUGUGUGAGGAUUUAUUUGAGAUAUAUGCCCAGGAAUGAAAUGGCUGGGUCAUAGGUUAUGUAGAUACUUUAUCUGCUUAAAUAAGAACAGCAGCACCAAUGUACACUUUCACAUUACUCAACAUCUUUACCUAUGUUUCUCUGCAUGCACAGGUAUAAAGUCUGGAAAAUUACAGUUUUGGCCUUACUCACACAACUUCCUGAAAAUAAUUUCUCAACCCUAGUCCCCAUACACCAUGAAAAGAGCCUUUCCUUAUGACAAUGUGGACUUGUGCUUCUUUGCCCCACCAGGUCCCUAUCUUUCUUUCUGCCUCCUCCCUAUGCAUGAAGCACCUCAUCCUCAAAUUUGGGGAGAUCCUGUCCAAUUUAAAAAUUCUGCUACUCAAUCAUACUAAACUAGAAAGCUAUGAUUGAUUUUGAUGAGUAUGACUAUCUAUUUGGGGUGGGAAGAAGAGAUGAACAUGGUUUGUUUUUUAGAUGGUAAAAACAACUAAAUAGAACACUAAGAGAUGUGAGCAAGCACUAGAGUGGUGCCAAAAUUGUUCUUCGCUCUGAUCCCUCCGUUCAACAGAUCUAUAAAGCCCUUCCCAGUCUCUCUUCAGAUGCCAGGGCUACGGGAUUCCACUGGCUGUAGCACCUCAUCGCCUGCUGUAGGCUCCAUGACUCGUUUCCAGUCUGCCAUCUUGUGGUCCUUCCUGUUGCUGCAGUCAUACUGGUUUACCGAGAGGGCAACAGUGGAUUUAGUAGACUUCAGGUAGCUUGCGUCACUGCUCCUGUCUCCGUGUAACUCACAAUAAAGAGAUUUUGGCAUCAACUGUGAGCUUAGGGGUAGAAGAAGGGUAUAUGUUAGGAGGUGGGAGCGGAAUCAAUUCUUCAAAUCUUAAUGAUGUAAGUCAUAAAGAUGUUUCCUCGAGCCACUGUUGAUUCAUUGUUAAUGAUUCAUUACUGCGUUUUCUGCAACACUAAGAAACCAUUGCUUCUACUAACUUUAUAAAAAACAUAUAAGAUAAAGAACAAGUGAAAAUCCAGAUUUUUUUAAUGAGGGUGAAGAAGAGUGCUCACCAGAUUCCCUUCUGGUCUGGAAAAAGAAAUCCCUUCUUUUGUGGAUGUCAUGUCUACCAUCUCUCGGUGAAAAACAUUUCAAGAGAAUCCUAAGAUGGAGAGAGCAUUGGAAGUCAUCCGGCCCAAUUCCCUCAUGCAAUUCAAAGCUUCUUUGUAAGAAAAAUGCCCCCAGAAGUUUGUUUGCAUCAUGAAGAUCAGAUUUUGAGAGAUCCAGUCUGGCUCUUCCCUGUACAAAACAUUCCUCACAAACAGAAUAUGGACAAUUGUUAAAUGUCAAAGGUAAAGUUAUUGUGGGAACUCCUUCAAAAAGUUCAAGUGAGAGCCCAUUCUAUGAGUGACCAUUUACAUCUAAUUUUUUUCUGUGCUAUGUUACUUAUUCUGAAGUGGUUGAUCCAAUUCCUAAAAGGGAAUAUUUCAUUACCUUUUAUUUCCUAUAGCAUCCAUUCUGACCCCUUUUCAGUUUAAUUAUUCCCUGAUCCCAGUCUUCAUUCACGCAUUUAUUUGAGAAAUAUUUAUUGACCAACAACUAUGCCAGGUCCUAUUCUAUGUGUAGGGACUAUAAAGUUGAACAAGACAGAGGAGGUACUGGCCUCAGAAUUUACAUUCUAGUAGAUGAGAAAGUAAAAAUAAACACAUGAAAACAUGAAUGAACCGGAUAUUAUAGACUGUGAUAGGUGUAGUUUGGGUAAAGCACAGAGUGCAGUAGUAAAGAUAAACUGGACUCAGAGUGGGGCUAUUUUAGAUGGAAUGGAAACCUCUGAGGAAAUGAAAUUUGAGCUGAGACCUAAAAGGUCACCCAAGGACUCAUGGGAAAACUCAGUUGUUUCUAUCAAAAUUUAGCUUCAUGAACUCCAGGCCCUUGCAAAUGAUGGUUACCAGGUGAGAAAUGUCUCACUGGCAACAGAAGUUGGCAGACCCAGCUCCAGUUCCAUCCCAGCCAACAUACCAAUGUCAUUAAAAUAAGGCCAUUCAUCAAGGUGGAGACUAUUACUAGAAACAAGCAUUCUAAAGUGCCAUUUGAGUGCCAGGCUCUCAACACUGGGCAUAGCACUGCUCCAUGAGGCUUUUGAGAGCGUGUACUGACGCAUGACCAAAAAAAUUAAGUCCCAUGUAAGUGACGCAACUGCUCCCCAAUUACUGUGGAAGUAUCUGCAGACUAACUAUUGUGCGCGUGUGUUUGUUUGCUUUAAUGAAUAAAUUCAGUCAACCAACCAUCUAGCUAUUGACUAAAUCCAUUCUUUUUCUUCCAAAAUGUCUAUUGGCUGAAGUUUACUGGUUUUUAUUUCUAUUUGCAUACAUAAUUUUCUAAACCCCAUUCUUAUGGAACCUUCUCUAAGUUCCUCUCUAUGGCCCUGUCCAUGUUCAUAUGGAUACACAUAAAGGCACAAAUACACCAAACUAAGUUUAGAGCAGUCUGGUGCCUGCCUAAGACUUCGGCCUCAUCUCCUGCUUCUACCCUCUUUAGUUUAGGAAAAACAGGUAACGUUGCUGAGUGCCAAGUAUUGUGCUAGUAGCUUUGCAUGCAUUUUUUCAUUUUAUCUUCACAAGUUUCUUCUAUCACCAUGAUCUGUAUGUUUGACCAUGCUGUUUCCUCCACCUGAAAUUCCCUUGGUGCUCUGCCUGGGGAACUGUCACUCAUUCUUCAAAUCUCAAUGGAAUGAUCUCCUCCUCUGGAAAGCUCUCCCUACUUCCCUAGGAAGAAGUAAUCCCUUCCUCAGUUCUGCUUUGAUUAUAACUUUAUAAGCACCUAUCACUCUGCAUGGUAUUAGUUCACUGUCAUGUCCAUUUCCUCCAUUGGGAUGUAAAUUGCUUAUGGGUAAUAAUUAGGCUUUGAAUCAUUUUAUGAUCUGGCCUAAGACAGUGCUUGGCACAUACUAUAGGCUCACCAGAUGAUGGCUGAGUAGAAUUAAAUUGAAUCAAGUUCAAGUUAUCACUUUGAUGUUUAUCAAUUAACAUGUGUAGUGUGUUAAAUGGUGGUCACUGAAAACAUAUGUCUGCACCCUAAUUCCUGGAACCUGUGAAUAUAACCUUAUGUGUUAAGAAGAAAUAUGACCUUAAAUGGAUAUGGAGACAAGAAGCUUAUCCUGGAUUGUCUGAGAGGGACCUAGAUGCAACCACAUGUAUUCUGAUAAGUGGAGAGAAACAGAAGAGGAGGAUGCAAUGUGACCCUGUAGGCAGAAGUUUGAAUGGUGCAGCCACAAGCCAAGGAGUCCCUGGGGCCAUCAGAAGCUGGAAGAAGCAAGGAAUGGAUUCCUUCCUAGUGUUUGGAAGGAGUGUGCACUUGCCAACACCUUGGUUUGAGACUUCUGGCCUCCGGAACUGUGACAGAAUAAAUAUCUGUUGUUUUGAGCCACCCAGUUGUUGCUAAUUUGUUAAAGCAACCCUAGAAAAUUAAUAUAGCAUCCACAAUAAAAUUUCUCAAAAUAUAUGUUCCUGUGAAAUGGAAGAGUUCUAGGGAUCUAGUAGCAUAUACGGAACCCAGAUAAGUUAUACAAGUUUUUCCCUGAAAGUCUUUUCAGAUUCUUUAGCGGGCUAAGGUGCAUUGUGAAUCCCAAAAACUUUAGCGUUUUUCAGCAUCUAUUAUCACAUAAUCCUUUCCCCACCCAUGGAAUUAUAUACUAACCUGUUUUUGUAGAUGUUGAUGUUCUGUAGAACAGAGUUUUGGGGUCUGUAUGACUUAAGAUCCUUCUACAAUGGAACACAGUGAGGAGGGUAUUCAGAGGAGUCAUAGAGGGCAUUGAUCUUGCAAUAUAUACUCAGGAAAUUACCA